RNAcentral lists this long non-coding RNA (11115 nucleotides) under Theobroma cacao (cacao). RNAcentral's name for it is "long non-coding RNA (TCAC_LNC000213)". The record is from RNAcentral. Lineage: Eukaryota; Viridiplantae; Streptophyta; Magnoliopsida; Malvales; Malvaceae.
CAGUCCGUGAAUGCGCCGCUUUAAGAGCUCCGACGAAGUCUCUAGUGGGAGCUGCAUUCUCGAUAAACUUCUUCAAUGAUGCCAGAGGUUUCUUCUCUUUCAUCUGCCAAACCCCGGAAUCAUUAGCAACCUUCGACCCACAAAACAAGAAAAAGCGCAAAAAGCGAAUAAAUGAAAUUAUAAUAAAGUUUGUAAAAUUACUUGGGAAACUUCCACGUCUUUGUGCCAAAUGAUUUCUUCGAGAAUAUUGCGAGGAGUGUUACCCUCGUUUUGCAAACGGAACUCGAAGGGGCCCACGUAAUGCAUCGGCGGACCCGAAGGUGGUCUUCGCCGUAUUCUUAUACCUUGACUCGCAGCGACUUCGUUUUGGAACAUUCCAACUUCCCAUUCCUUCACUUUCAACGCAUCUUCCUCCUCUCCCCUUUUCGGGGAUAUGGCCUCCGACUACAUAAAAACCAAAUAGAAAAGAUAAACUAAAAUACAAAAUAUAAUGGCCAUAUUUAGAUUUUUACUACUACUACUAUUAUGAACCAACCUGUUGGGCUCGAAUGCCCGGAAAAUUGGAGCGGUGGAUGAUGAGAUUAGGACGGUGAUUGAAGGAAGGAACUGAUUGAAAGGGAAUUCUAGAAGUCGCUUUCAGGAAAACCAAUCCCUCCAUUUUUGCAAUUGAAAAGCCACAAGGGGGAUUCCGCAAUUGAUUGGGUUUGGCUGUGUAUCAUGACCUCAGAAGCGGACUGCUGGGAAGUGGAGAUGAUACAGUGGUCUUUAAAGUGGAUUUUCAUCUCUACUCUUUUUAGAAAAAUUUUUUUUCUCUUUUUAAAAAUUUGGAAAUGGCACGUGAAGAUAUUUGUUAGUCGUGACUAAUUGGUAAGACGAUAAUGAUGAUUUCUCCAAGAUUUAUUUUCUUUUUUUUUUGGUAAAAUUUUAUUUAUUUCUUCUUUUGAUUUAUUAGUUUCAUUCUAUACUUUGUACGAUUUUGUAAAAUUUUUGUUUCCUAUUUUGGUGUAUUAUAAAUAUUGUUAACUUUUUUUUUAUUAAAAAAGCAGAUUUGAAACUUAAUUUUUUUAGAUAAGAAUCAUGUUCUAAUUAACGUGUCAAAUAUCCGAAUACAUAUUACGUGUAAACUUGUUUUAAUUUGUUCUUAAUAAUGAUCUCAAGCUAUACAAUGAGAGAUAAUUUUUUUCUUGGUUCCUAAAUUUCAAUCAUUUGUCCACACAUUUCCAACAUUACCACUCCUAUGAUAUAAUACAAGUCAAAAACAAAGGUGAUCAAACCUGUUUGGUUGAGGACCAAGCUUUAAUGCACCAUUGGGCAGGCAUGGUGGAGUUCAUAAAUCAUACAUUUUGAUCAAUCAAUGCCUGUAUACGCAAGCAACAUUACAAGCAAUGUUUGCAGAUAAUGUAAGUAACUUAAAAAACAGUUGCUUCUUUAUAGGGAUUCAUGUCAGAACAUUACAUUGUUACAUUGAACGGGGCAGAAUUUCUGUAAGUUGCCUUGCCUCACUUUAACUCCCUAGGUUUGAGUUUACAGCAGAACUCCACCAGACAUAAACUAACUCUGUUCAUCCCCAAAACCAAGAACAGGCCGCAUGAAGGAAACCUUUAUUUAAAAAUGUUUUGCAAUCCAUCGAAGAUCCUUAAAGCUCUCAGUUCACCACUCCUCAUAUCCCUCAAUCUCCUCCUCAGUAUCUGGAACCGUUCACAUAAGCAGAAUGAAGCAGAUGCAUCAGGUCAGGAAGCAAGAUAUAAAUUAUUUAGCAGCAGUAAAUGCUCCUAACUUCAUGGUAUAAAUUCCUUAUUUUCAUGAAACAAUAUGCCCAGUACCUAGAACAUGCAACAUCUAACAUUUUGCACUGAUGAAUCCUUGGCAUACUCAAGACCUUAAUUCAGUGAACAUAAGUGGUGGGAUUUGAUAGACAGAAUAUGAAGUACUUCAAUUCUAAAGCAACCAAAAAAUGAGUACUUCACUCAAUAACAAUGGAAAAACACUGUGCCUAAGCAGAUUACUAACUCAAAACUCAGCAUCCAAUCGAGGGAGCUCAAACAACAGAUUGUAAGUGAUAUGUUAUGAAACAAGUAUCAACAGAGAUGUGCUAAAUAACUUAAAAAGAAAUUUGAAAAAUCAAAGGAGGUUUAGUCUUACAUGUUGAGCACGAAAUAGUAUUCUCUGCUCACUUGUACAUAAAUCUACUGCUAGCUGUUUCAGAAACACUCCUCGGUUUAGUUGCUUUGGAGAUGUCACAUCCAAAUCCAUGGAGCCACUUGCCUAUAAAAGAAAUUACCAAGAAUUGCACACUGAAUAUGAGGUAUUUAAGACGAGCCCUAUCUAUAUCAAAUAACCCUUUUUCAUUUUUAUGGUAAUUUCAAUCUAAGUAAAGUUUUCCAAGUUCUGAAAAAAUGAUAUUUCUCUCACCUGCAAGAAUUUGGAGUAUUUUGAUAUGCUUGACUCGCAACUGUCAAGAAUAAAUUGCAGUGCUUUUUCUUCAAUUUCAAGGUAUCUUAAGUCCUUCUUGGUUGUAGAUUUAUUUGAUGCUGCAGCAGCCAUCUGGAGAAACAACCAUUAGGAGUUCAAUAAUCAAAAUUUAUUCCAUGAUUUAGAGGAUAGAGUUCUCAAACCUCUUCAAACUGCGGGCUCAUGCUUGGAGGGCUGACUGCCAGGUAAGCAUAUGCCAUUAACUCCAGUGGCCAACCAGUGAUUUGUAUAGGAUAACACUGAGAACUGCCAGAAAGGUUCACAGAUUUGAAAUAAGAAAUUAAAAUGUGAAAAAAACUAAAUAUAGAUAACAGAGGAAGCACAAAUCAUAAAUAAUGUCCAAGAACUAAGCUUCUUCAGAAGACAAAAAGAUACAAUCAUUACCACAGAUAUUUAACCAUUCAGAUAAGAAACAGAAUAAAUUUAACUCCCUAAUGAAUCAACCCCAAAAAUCUAGGACUACUAAAACAAGAUUAAAUUAAAAAAUCAGUAAAAAAACAUUUAUCCAGCUUAUGCAGACAAUCCAUGCUUCCUUAAAGCUUCCAACUUCUCCUUAUAACAUUUGUCAGAUUUUUUAAGCGAUAGAGAUAGCUCUACUGAAUCACUAGGAUUUGUGCCCUCUUUUGGAACAAAUCCAUAAGAUAACAACAGCUCUCCAUUAGAUUUUUUGCCAUAUGAUAUGAAAACCUGCAUAAAAUGAUGGAAGCCAUCUAUAAGACAUUUCAAACUUUGCCAACUAACAUGAUAUUAGUGGUCCAAACUCUAAACUUUGAGGUUGUUCAUGCUUACAACAGAUUAGCACGUCUAUGAUCAUUAAGAAACUGAUUGAUAAUAUGUUACUUUAAAGGGUCAAUCCUAGCUUCAAAAUGUAUCAAGCAAAUAUGGUGUUCAACUGUGAGAACAAAAUUUAUAAGUAUCUUAAUAUACAGGAAUGUAGGUAAGGAUACAUAUAUAGUGUGUGUGUGUGUCCAGGCACGCAUGCACGUGUGCAAAGAAGUGGCUGCACGCUCUCAUGCAUAUAUGUAGUAAGAAAAACAACACAAUGUUUCCACCCCCUGUUAAAAAAAUUAAUUGCAAAUUCCCUUGAGUAGAUCUCAUGAAGCUUCCAAAUCUGAAAUACUUUAACAACCGGUUUUUUUGGAAGAAGUAGUAAUCUUUGAAACAAAAUCAUUAAUGACAACCAAAUAAUAACAUAAGUUAUAUAUAUGAUGUACAUUUCUUGGAAGAAGUAGUAAUCGUUUAAAGAAAAUCAUUAAUGACAACCAAAUAAAUCUGAAAUAUUUUAGCAACCGGCUUUUUUGGAAGAAGUAGUCAUCUUUUAAACAACAACAUUAAUGACAACAAAGAAUGAUAUAAGUUAUAUGUAUGAUGUACAUUUCUUGGAAGAAGUAGUAAUCUUUUAAAAAAAAUCAUCAAUGACGACCAAAUAAUAAUUUAAGUUCUUUGUAUGAUGUACAUUGCUCUCCCUUCGCAUACACAGUCAUGUAAGAAAAGUAAACAAAAAAUCUUUCAGCAACAACUUUAUUAUUGCUCUAAUCUUCUAUGAUCCCUAUGAUCAAAUAAUAUAUAUGUCAAAAUCUCAUUUACCUGCUCACCUGGCUGAUAAGCCCGAUCUGUUGUAAAGACAACCCCAUGUGAUGAUCUGUCAUAAUCCAAAAAUGUUUCCACCUUAACCAGAAAAAGUCAAGCGAAGGUACUAAUUUGAUUAAUUAUAUAUCUUGUAUGCAUCCUUUAUAAAGAAAGACUUCUCUGUACCUCACAGCUAUGGUUGAGCAUAUCUGCCCAAGGAACCAAGGCAACCUUUUCAUCCAUUGAAGGUAGCCUCACCUGGUUUUAACAGCAAAAUGAAAGUUUUAACUUUUCCAUUCUUAUAAAUCAACUAUCCUCUCCUGCACUUUGCGUUAAACCUCUAAAUUAAGCCCCAAUUACAGAACAUUUACAAUGCAAAAUUGUAUGUAAUAAAGUCACAAAGUUAGUGGUAUCAAAGGAGACUUGAGAAGUACAGCAUCAUUUACCUCUUUAGUUAAAUUUUAAGGCAGAGAUAUAUAAUUUCAAAUAAUUUAUUCUACAAAAAAAUUCGAAGCCGUUUAGCAUUGCUACUGGCAUCCGUAAACAUUUUCCAGGUGAGCUGGUCAAGGAUUUAAACGUUGAGAAUUUUAAGAAAAACACAAAAACAUAAAAUUAAAAACUUACUCACUUUGAUAACUGACUUAAUUUCUAGACAGAAUUGUUGGAUCAAUUUGUACUGCCAAAUGAUUUCUUCGAGAAUAUUGCGAGGAGUGUUACCCUCGUUUUGCAAACGGAAUAAUGCAACGGCGGACCCGUAGGCGGUCUUCGCCUUGUUCUUAUGCCUGGACUCGCAGCGACUUCGUUUGGGAACUUUCCAACUUCCCAUUCCUUCACUUUCAACGCAUCUUCCUCCUCUCCCCUUUUCGGGGAUUUGGUCUCCGACUACAUAAAAACCAAAUAAAAAAUCAACUAAAAUACAAAAUAUAAUGGCCAUAUUUAGAUUCUUACUACUACUACUACUAUUAUGAACCAACCUGUUGGGCUCGAAUGCCCGGAAAAUUGGAGCGGCGGAUGAAGAAAUUAGGACGGUGAUUGAAGGAAGGAACUGAUUGAAAGGAAAUUCUAUGAGAAGAGAAAGUGACGCUGGUGGCAGAGGAGAAAAGAAAGAAGGAAGAAAAAGGGAAGGAGAGAAAGAAAAAAAAAGAGAAGAAGAAACUGACCGGCGAAAGAAAGAAAGAGAGAAGAAGCCGGCGGCCAAGAGAGAGAAGAGGCUGGCGGCAAAGGAUAAAGGAGAGGAAGAAGAAAGAGAAGGAAAAAAAGAAAAAGAAAGGGAGAAAGAAAGGAAAGAAAGAGCAGGAAGGAAAGAAAAAAAGAGAAAAAGAGAGAGAGAGAGAGAGAGAAGAGCAAAAGAGCAGCCAGCCAUUCAAGCACCAAACGGCACGUUUGGACUGCAACGUAGAGAUUAGAGACCAGCAGAGCGGGUUUAGUUGCCUUGGCCGAUUCUAGCCUAAGAAAGUUGUAACUCUUUUUUAUCUAUUUGCGAAUCGGUUGUUUUAUUUUGAAAUAUGUGUUUUAAAUACAUGAUUAAUCUAAAUAAGAUGAAAUAAAAUAUUUAGAAAAAUUAUUUCAUGUUAGGGUAGGAAUAUUAAAAAAAAAGAUAAACGUUUGAAUUCAAAAAAAUAAAAAGAAAUGGUAAUAGUUAUAAUAGUCAGAUAAAUACAUAUAUGUUUAUUUGAGUGUUAGGAAAUUAAAAUAAAUAAAUAAUAUAAAUAAAAAAAUAUAGUAGUGAAAGUAAAAAUGAAAAUAAAAAAAUAGUUUCAAACAUGUUAGGUGAACUAAAACUUAAAUAAAUAUUUAUUUACAAAAAAGGGAUUUAAAUAAGUGAGGUUUAUAUAAAUAGGAAAUAAGUGGAUUUAACUAAGGCUAAACAUAUAUAUAUAUAUAUAAGAAUGGUAAAAUAAUAAAGCAAAAGUGAUUAGUCAAUAUUAGUAAAAAAUAUAAUAACACAUAUGCGUAUAACAAAGCAAACAAGAAAAAAGAAAUAAAAAUAAUGAACAAAAAUAAUAAUAAUGAUAAUUAAGAAAAUAAUAAUAAAUAAUAAUAACAAUAAAAAUGAUAUAGAAAAAUGUAAUAAUCGUUUUAGGAUCGAGACCGAUGAUGGGAUAUCCAUUCGAAAUGCGAGAAGUAGCAAUUCUGAGUGAAUUUCCUUAGAUUAAAGAUUUCGAUUAAGAGUCCACCACUACGAUGGGAGGAACGUACUUCAAAAUUUCAAUGUUCCUAAUUUUAAAUAAAUAAAAAAUCAUACAUACUUAAUCACCAAUUAAUCAAAAUCUACAAAUAAAAUAAAUAAGAAAUUAAUGAUAACAAUAAAUUUGUUAAUCAUAAUAAUACAAAAAUAGAUAAAAUACAUAUGCAUAAUUAAUAAUCAUUGCGGAUAAUAAAAAAAUACUUGAUCUAAAAUUAUGAUUUUAAGGAAGUUUCAUAUAGUAAAAUAAAUAAGUACCUACAUAGUAAAAUAUAUGAAGAAAUAGAAAUGAUUAUAAAAACAAUAAAUAAAUAUAAAAUAUUUGUUCAUGAUAAGUAAGCACCAAGAAAAUAGUAAAAAAGAAACAAACAUUGAAUUUAUACGUGCAUCACGUACCAUUAUUGCAUUGUUAAAUGUCAUGACAUAUAGAUAUAUUCUAUAUACGAGUAUAAGCCCUGAUUAUGGGACUUUUCGAAAGAGCUUGCAAAAACGAGUUUUUUCGAAAAAAAUUUUAAGUGAAAAGAUACAUCCGAAUCUCACCAGUAUGAUGAGAGGACUCGGAUAAUAUCUUUAAUAAAAAGCUUUUGCUCGUAUUAGGAUUUACAUUCAUGAAAAUACUGCUUUUACUCACAAACGACUAUCCCGAUGAUAAGAUCUACAUAGUAAAUUUACGAAAGUGAGUUUUUCGAGUAUUUCCUUAAGUGAGAGAAUACUCUUGGAUCCCACCAGUAUGAUGGGAGGAUCCGAAAAGUACGCUCAAUAAAAGAUUUUUGUUUGAAAUUAUUUAGAUUUUUUGCUAUACGUUUCAUAAUUACAUUCCGUGUACAUCAAACACAAAAAACCAAACAAAAUAUUUUGUUAAUAGAAUAAAAGAUAAAAUAAAUAAAUAGCAAUUAAGGAACACAUGAGAAUAAAAUUAAUGAAUUAGGAUAACACAUGACUAAAUGUUACUGUUUGUAGAACGGGCGUCACAGCGGUGUUAAUCAUUUCUUACGUGUAACCGUACUUUCGAACUCAACUCUAAAUAAGAUAUGUAGACCAGUUUACCGUUAUUUCGACGGAUCUAAAGUCAAUUUAAGAUUUCGUCGAAUAAAAUCAAUUUAAUAGGUAACCAAUCAUACCUAGGUAAAAAAAAAUUGAUGACGACUUCCUAAAUUACUUCACGUCUAACGAUCGGAUUCCUGGACUUACCACGUUAUGACAACAACAUCAAAGAAACAAAUUUAAACUAAGAGGAUCGAAUAGUUCAUGAGGCAACUCAAUGAGCAACUGCUAAAACUUUAAAAACCUUACCAAGGUUACGAUUAUUGAUACCAAUAAGUUCAAUUCCUUCGAUACCAAGAACGCGAUCCAUUUCCCUCUCAUCGUGCACCUAAAAGAAACCAAUGGAAGCAACAAUAAAGUAUAUGAAUAUUGGAAAGAAAUACACAUGAAAAUUUUAAUAAUUCUGAAUGUUAGAAGCUUUUUAUUAAAACAAGGAUUUGAUGAUAUAACUUUUAAAAGUCUCAAAUGUGCUUUGCCAAUUGAUCAAAAAAAAAAAAAAAAACUGCCUCAAUAAUCAUGGAAGUAAAAUAAGUUUCAUAAAUCCAAAAAGCACCUCAACUAAUUAAAAAGUACGAGAUCAAUAAUAAUAACAAUGAAAGCUCCUGGUCUAACCUCUACAAGCGCUGCCGAACCAAGCAUCUUGCAGAUUUUAACCAUGUAUCUGAUGUCAAGAUCAGGCAAAACAGCAGCAAUUAAACGUAUUCCAUCUGCUCCCUUAAUUCGAGCAUAAUAUAUCUGCCAUGCAUCAAUCACAAAUUCUUUGCAAAGUAGAGGGCACUGUGUUCAUUAUGAGAGCAAAAUUAAUCCGUAUAGGAGAAUAAAACAAGACAAGAUUAGAGAUUAACAAACAACUAGUAAAACAGACCUUUACUCCGGCACUCCUUAUUGCCUCCAAAUUUUCAAAGCUUCCCUAAAUUGAAGAGGAGGGGAAAAAAAAAAGCAAGUCAGAGGAAUAAUAUACCAAUUAAGCGAUUAAACACAAAAUCUUCAAAAGCAAAAAUGAAAAAAUUACUGUGUUUACCUUAAAAUACUUUUCAUCAGUCAAAACACUAAGGCAUGCGGCUCCACCCUUCUGAUAUGCCCUAGCAAUCUCAACCUAUCAUGGAAAGCAUCUCUAUGUGUUACAAGUCACACAACAAUAAAAGAAUAUAAUGAUAAAUAAAUAUGAUACGGAACUAAGUUCACUCUUUCUUAAAGGUUUUACCCAAAUAGAAGUUUAAGAAUAGAAUAAAUCAUCAUUUUUUUAGAGUAUCUACACUCUUUCACAUUCAAGACUGAAAUGUAAAAUGCAAAAUCAUAUUUAGUUGAAAAUUAAGCAAAUAACUAAAAUGAAACGUAGGCAUUUUGUUAUUCAAAAAAGAGUAUUUUCAAUUUUUCAUUCUUCAAAAAUAUAAGCCGCUUUGGUAUCAAAAUACACUUUUUACUUGCUCCUUGCAGAGCAAAAGAGCAGACAAUUAAUAAAAGAAAUAACCCAAAUGAAGCUAACUUUUUAAAGCUUAUACUAGGAUAAUUUCCUUUUUAUCAUUAGUACAAAAUAAUUGCUCCCUCCAUCCAAUAAACACCGUCUUGCAUACCUUUAGUUCCCAAACUUAAUCUCUCAUUUAAAAAUCAUAAAAAAAAAAUCAUUAUUGCUUUUCUUUAUUACCCUGAACUACUUAACUUAAAAUUUGUUAAACUUUGAACAUGUUUGGUCUAACUUUUUUUAACUUAAAAACUAUUUUAAAGUUUUUAUGAAAAAUAAUAGCUUUUAAAAUUAAGUUAAAGUUAUUUGAUAAAUUUACUUUUUAUAAGUUUUUUUAAUAGAUAAGUUGUUUGGCAAAACAGCUUAUAUAAACUUUAAUUUUAGUUAAAAUUACCAUAAAAGGGUAUUUAAUAAAUAACUUUUUAUUAAUCACAAAUUUUUUUAUUCAAAAUAAAAAAAUUAAUUUACAUAUUAUAGAACCAAAUAAUCAAGUAAGAAAAUAUUUAUAUAUAUUUUUUAACACUAUAAAUCUUUUACACUUAAAUAUUUAGUUUAUUAAUAAAUAUAUCAAUAAUCUACUUAAAGACUUAUAUUUUUUAAUUUUUUAAUUAAUCCAUCGAUAUUUUAAUUUUGUUCAAUCUAAUCCCUAUAUUAUAUAUUUUUAUUCAAUUUAAACCUUAUGACAUGGUAAAAUUUUUUAUUUAAAAAUUUUUUUUGAUCUAUCAUGUGACACUGUCACGUUAGUAUUAUCAUGUCAUUAUAUUAAUGUCACGUGGUAUUAUCAUGUCAUCAUGUCGGUACCACGUGAAAUGUCAUGUUAUCAUCUCAACGUCACCUCAUCAAAAUGUGCCAUAUUAGCUUUGACGUCAUCGCAGAUGUCAUCUCUUUUAAUGACAAAAUUGAGUGCAAUUAGAGAAAAAGAUUAAAUUGAAGAAAUUCUCAAAAUCAUGAGAUUAAAUUGUUUUGAUUUUAAGUACAAAGGUAAAUUGAAUAAAAUUAAAUAGUGUAAAAACUGAAUAAGUGUUUUGAACAAUAAAUAUUCAUUCCGUGGAGAGUUUUAUUACAUGAAGAAUNNNNNNNNNNNNNNNNNNNNNNNNNNNNNNNNNNNNNNNNNNNNNNNNNNNNNNNNNNNNNNNNNNNNNNNNNNNNNNNNNNNNNNNNNNNNNNNNNNNNNNNNNNNNNNNNNNNNNNNNNNNNNNNNNAAAAAAAAAAAAAAAACGAUAGAAAAUAAGUGCUUAUUUGGCUUGAUUUUUUUUUCAACUUAUCUAUUUUUUAAAAGUAAAAACCAAACCAAAUAUAAAUUUUGAAAAGCUUUUUAAAAAAAUAGCUUUUUUUGAAAGAAUAAAAUUUUGAAAAAAAAAGGUUCAGGAAAAGCUCCUAUGAAGAAUUUUUUUUCUCUUUUUUUAAAAAUAUAAGAGAAUUUUUAUUUUUAUUUCAAAAAUAUCUUCAUCUGUUAAAAAUAAUUACAAUACUACCUUAUAAAAAAAUCCUUUAUGAUAAUUUUAAUCAAAAUUAUAACUUAUAAAAAAUAACUUAUAAAAAGAAAUUUAUCAAAUAAUUUUACUUUAAUUUUUAAAACUAUUAUUUUUCAUAAGAACUUUAUAAUAGUUUAUAAGUUAAAAAAAAACAGGUCAAACAGACUCUAAAAUAAAAAACAAAAUAGAAAAAAAAUAUCUUAACGAAAUUUUAAAUUUUUUUUUUAAAUUUUUAUAAAAAUAAAAAAAAUUUAUAGAAUGAUGAUUUACAGAAAGAGAAAGAGGAGAGGACGAUCGAUAGAGAGAAAGGGAGGGAGUAUUUUUUGAGUGGGAAGAUUUUUUUGAAAAAAAAAAAAUAACUCUUUUAAUAAAUUGAUAUAUUUUUUUUGAAAAAAAUAACUUUUAAUAGGAGUUUUUUUAAUUUUACUUUUUUAAAAAAUUAUUUUUUAAGAGUUUUUCAUAAAAUUUUAUCUUAUCCAAUUUUUACUUUUAAUUAAUAAAUAAAUUAAAAAUAAAUCAAAUCAAACGACCAUUUUGUCCCAAGUCAUAAUCAGACACAAUAUUAUAGGGUAGAGGGAGUAAAAAGGAAACACAAUUAAGCUUAAAAAACAAGCAUCCCUUACCGGAUCAAAAUCCUCUCUGAGAAUUCCUCUGGUAGGCGAAGCCUUCUUAACUUCAGCAAUCAAACCAAGGCAACCCAGUCCGUGAAUGCGCCACCUUAAAAGCUCCGACGAAGUCUCUAGUGGGAGCUGCAUUCUCGAUAAACUUGUUCAAUGAAGCCAGAGGCUUCUUCUCUUUCAUCUGCCAAACCCCAGAAUCACUAGCAACUUUCGACCCACAACACAAGAAAAAGCGCAAAAGCGAAUAAAUGAAAUUAUAAUAAAGUUUGUAAAAUUACUUGGGAAACU